Small nucleolar RNA from Delphinapterus leucas (beluga whale), 74 nucleotides. Ensembl annotates it as small nucleolar RNA SNORD113/SNORD114 family. The record is from Ensembl. NCBI's taxonomy places the organism in Eukaryota, Metazoa, Chordata, Mammalia, Artiodactyla, Monodontidae.
UGGAUCGAUGAUGAUUUCUGUUCAUCAGUAUGAGUGAUAUAAAGUGAAUACUUGUCUGGAAUUUUGAGGUCCGA